CUCUCCUCAAAUUUCCCAAGCUGCUUGUGCAAUGAUUUCAAAAUUCCCAAGCAACUUGGGGUUGGCGAGAGAGAGAUUCAUCAAUCAUCUGUUGCUUAAGAGCGACGCAAAGGGGCGAUUCCAGUCUAUUAUUAAGAGGUCACCAUUUCUUGCUUCCGAUCUCCUCAUCUCUCUCACAAAAAUCUCCAAUUUUCGCAAUAAGGCAACAAUAUGUUUCUCUCCUUUUUUGUUUCCUCUGCUUUGAUGUAAAGAUACACGCAUAUGUAUAAACGUUUAUGCGUACGCACAGUUGUUCUGUCAUUUCAGACUGCAAGUGAGAGUUUACAGAAGUUUUUAAAAGGUGAAAGAUCAUGAUCAAGCUUGUUACCGGAGGGUACUCAGUUGGAAAAGCAUGGGAUCACUAGGGGAGAACCGAGCUUGUACAGAUUUUCAUUUCGCAUGAUGAUUAUGCUAUUAGAUCCUUACAAUUUCUUUAUGCUGAGUCUGGAAAGCUAGUUUUGUCUGACCCCCCAGAUGGUAGCUCUAUCGGAAACAAAUUCAGC
Long non-coding RNA from Diospyros lotus (date-plum), 542 nucleotides. RefSeq lists it as uncharacterized. Lineage: Eukaryota; Viridiplantae; Streptophyta; Magnoliopsida; Ericales; Ebenaceae. The record is from RefSeq and is a predicted model, not a curated record. The transcript has 3 exons.